This 458-nucleotide ribosomal RNA is filed under the name Salmonella enterica subsp. enterica serovar Montevideo str. ATCC BAA710. Its description in RNAcentral is "bacterial LSU rRNA". It matches the Rfam family "Bacterial large subunit ribosomal RNA", at positions 2475 to 2925 of the family's 2925-position model. The record is from RNAcentral. Lineage: Bacteria; Pseudomonadati; Pseudomonadota; Gammaproteobacteria; Enterobacterales; Enterobacteriaceae.
UAACAGGCUGAUACCGCCCAAGAGUUCAUAUCGACGGCGGUGUUUGGCACCUCGAUGUCGGCUCAUCACAUCCUGGGGCUGAAGUAGGUCCCAAGGGUAUGGCUGUUCGCCAUUUAAAGUGGUACGCGAGCUGGGUUUAGAACGUCGUGAGACAGUUCGGUCCCUAUCUGCCGUGGGCGCUGGAGAACUGAGGGGGGCUGCUCCUAGUACGAGAGGACCGGAGUGGACGCAUCACUGGUGUUCGGGUUGUCAUGCCAAUGGCACUGCCCGGUAGCUAAAUGCGGAAGAGAUAAGUGCUGAAAGCAUCUAAGCACGAAACUUGCCCCGAGAUGAGUUCUCCCUGAGACUUUAGGUCUCCUGAAGGAACGUUGAAGACGACGACGUUGAUAGGCCGGGUGUGUAAGCGCAGCGAUGCGUUGAGCUAACCGGUACUAAUGAACCGUGAGGCUUAACCUUAC